RNAcentral lists this ribosomal RNA (440 nucleotides) under uncultured bacterium. Its description in RNAcentral is "partial 16S ribosomal RNA". It matches the Rfam family "Bacterial small subunit ribosomal RNA", at positions 338 to 795 of the family's 1533-position model. The record is from RNAcentral.
CCUACGGGAGGCAGCAGUGGGGAAUCUUGCACAAUGGGGGAAACCCUGAUGCAGCGACGCCGCGUGAGUGAAGAAGUAUUUCGGUACGUAAAGCUCUAUCAGCAGGGAAGAAAAUGACGGUACCUGACUAAGAAGCCCCCGCUAACUACGUGCCAGCAGCCGCGGUAAUACGUAGGGGGCCAGCGUUAUCCGGAUUUACUGGGUGUAAAGGGAGCGUAGACGGCAGCGCAAGUCUGGAGUGAAAUCCCAUGGCUUAACCAUGGAACUGCUUUGGAAACUGUGCAGCUAGAGUGCAGGAGAGGUAAGCGGAAUGCCUAGUGUAGCGGUGAAAUGCGUAGAUAUUAGGAGGAACACCAGUGGCGAAGGCGGCUUACUGGACUGUAACUGACGUUGAGGCUCGAAAGCGUGGGGAGCAAACAGGAUUAGAUACCCUAGUAGUC